GAGUUUGAUCCUGGCUCAGGAUGAACGCUGGCGGCGUGCCUAACACAUGCAAGUCGAGCGAUUCUCUUCGGAGAAGAGCGGCGGACGGGUGAGUAACGCGUGGGUAACCUGCCCUGUACACACGGAUAACAUACCGAAAGGUAUGCUAAUACGAGAUAAUAUGCUUUUAUCGCAUGGUAGAAGUAUCAAAGCUUUUGCGGUACAGGAUGGACCCGCGUUGGAUUAGCUAGUUGGCAGGGCAGCGGCCUACCAAGGCGACGAUCCAUAGCCGGCCUGAGAGGGUGAACGGCCACAUUGGGACUGAGACACGGCCCAGACUCCUACGGGAGGCAGCAGUGGGGAAUAUUGCACAAUGGAGGAAACUCUGAUGCAGCGACGCCGCGUGAAGGAUGAAGUAUUUCGGUAUGUAAACUUCUAUCAGCAGGGAAGAAAAUGACGGUACCUGACUAAGAAGCCCCGGCUAACUACGUGCCAGCCGCCGCGGUAAUAC
RNAcentral lists this ribosomal RNA (490 nucleotides) under uncultured bacterium. Its description in RNAcentral is "bacterial SSU rRNA". It matches the Rfam family "Bacterial small subunit ribosomal RNA", at positions 9 to 526 of the family's 1533-position model. The record is from RNAcentral.